GCCCCUUCGUGACCUUACUUUCUUCCUUCUUUGUCCCUUUCCUUUCUGUCUCCUUCUUUUCUCUCCUCACUUGAGUGUGUGACACAGAUGGUACUCAUAGACAAUUACUUUUAAUUGCUUGAGUUUGAUCCUUUGUUGUGUUCGUUCCAUUAAUUCUACUUCUUUGCAAGUCUUUUCCCUUGAUGAUCUGUUUUUUUUUUUAAAAAAAAAGAAGAAAACUAAAAAAAACAUUGACCGAUCAUAGCUUAGGUUAAUUAUAUUUGUCGUUGGAAGCGAGCUGGUAUCAUCCAUGGAGGCGUCUAAGUGAUUAUCCUGAACCUUUCAUUCGUUUCUUUCUUUGCUAGCUGGAUUCCAUAGAGAGCUAAAGGCCUUCUCCAUUUCAUUGAGCAAUCAGUACCAGUGCUUUUCCCACUUAUUUUCUCAAGUUAAGCUUAGGUUAAUUAUAUUUGUUGUUGGAAGCGAGCUGGUAUCAUCCAUGGAGACGUCCAAGUGAUUACCCUGAACCUUUCGUUCGUUUCUUUUUGCCUGCCGUUUCUUUUCACUCAAACUAUAUAUCUCUGCACCGGUUGUUGAUUUUGGAUCAUUUCCCAAUUUAGGGCGGAAGACUACGGGAAAGAGGAGAUUGGUUGUGGUGGGGAUUGAAGCUGUGAUUUGGGAUCGGUUCAUGAUCUUCUGCUGAUAGGUUUAUCCAGCAGACUUCAAGAGGUAAGAACCUGCUCUUAUAUAUCAUGCAAAGAAAUGGAUCAGAUCAGAGUUGCUAAACAUGAAAAGAGAACAAGAGCUAAAGCUGCAUAAAUUAACAGCUUAAUAAAAAGAAUACAAUUUUAUUGUGAUGAUUUGAAAAUAAAAGUGAAUAGAAAAAGAUAACAAAACUCUUGAAGGAUUAGAAGUAGGUAUAAAUGAAUGAACGGUAUUAUAGUAAUUGAAUAAAGAGUUCAUAAACAUAAAUAGAAAAAAAAGAAACAUCUGAAUUCCUAGAGAGAAAACUGUAAGAGUGAAAGAAGAAAAAGAGAAAAGAUAAAAAAAUAAAGAAAGUAUAAGAGAGUUAGAGAAAAUAAAUUAAAAUGUAAGAAUAUUUAUGCUUUGAUGUGUAUAAAAGUGUUUUUCUUAGCUUUAAUUUUCUGUUUUGUUGAAUAUUAGGGUUUUGAAGAUUGUGUUUUGGGUUUGAUUGAUGAAUUGAUUUGAAUAUUAUGUGUUUAUUAUUAUAGAUAAUGAAUUAUUUAGUUGAUUUUGAAAGAUUUUGAGUUGUGGUUUUGUUUAAAUAGUGAAUUUGAGUUAUAAAUCUUGUUAUAUCAGUAGAUGAUAUGUGAAAAUUCUAGAUUUGAGAUUAAAGAUGAUGAAAUUUCAGUUUGGUCUCUCAAUUUAUAAAAAUUUCAGUUUAGUCCCUAGAGCAUAAUCCGAGAUUCUGGAUAAAAUGGAAUGUUGAGAAAUUAUAGAGACAUGUUACUUGGUAGCUCAAAAAGAAAAGGGACUAAAAUAAAUUUUGCAAACAAUUACAGUGUCGCCGCAUAUUUUUAUCGAGUUUUUCAUUUCAGUUAUCUAUCUUUGAAUUCAACUCUUAUCCUUAAAAAAACAAAAUGCAAUUGAGUUUUAAUUUGGGCAAAAGAUAUUUAAUUAUGAAAAAAAAAUUCAAAUACCAAAUUUAAAAUUUUUAAAAAAUUCACUAUUAAUAUCCACGUCCACAAUAAAAUAAGUCUCGGUGAAUAGUAAUAAACAAAAAACUCUUUUAUCUUUUAAUUUAUACUAUAAUUUAGUAUUGUGAUACAUAUUUUUUUAAAAUAAUUUUUUAUUUAAAAACAUAUUAGAAUAUUAUAUAUAUAUAUAUAAUAACAAGAAAUAAUUAAAAAUAUAUUAAUUUAAUAUUUUUAUAAAGUAAAUAUAAUUAUAAAAACCCACUCUGACACAGUAAAAAAACAAAUAACCUCUUUUUCAUACUAAUUUUCAUCUUCUAUUUUAUACAAGACUUGCCCCCUACGUGACCUUAUUUUCUUCCUUCUUUGUCCCAUUCCUUUCUUCCUCCUUUUAUCAUGCCGUGAUUUUAAGGUUUUUAUUUUAAGUGCUUGAAUAAGUAGAUGUUUUUGAAAAUAUUUUUUAUUUUAAAAAUAUAUUAAAAUAAUAUUAUUUUUUUUUAAAUUAUUUUUAAUAUCAAUAUAAAAAUAAAAAAAAUUAAUUUAGAAUACAAAAAAUAAUUUUAUAAAAAAAUAAUUUAAAAAAUAAAAAACAAACACGCUAUUUCCCUCCUUAUUCGCUAUCGUGGUUUCAGGUCCUCCUUUCCUGCCUUAUCUGCAAGAGCAUGAAAAAUAUAAAAUAAAAUAAAAUAAAAUCAAACGAGCAUGGCUGUUAACAACUAAUGCCUUGUUUGUUUCCAGGAAUUCAUUUUCCUGGACACCAUUUUCCCCACUUUUCCAUGUUUGAUAACUAUAAGGAAAACUAGUCAAAGAAAUUCAAAUUCCAGUCAAAGGAAAAUAAUACACUUUAAGUCAGGAAAGUGUUUUCCUUUCCUUAUUUUAAGGAAAACACUUUCCUUUCCUUUGUUCACAAAACAUGUGAACGUUUUACGACUUUUGAUGAUUUCUUCCUCCCGCUAUUUCAUUGUGCAAUCAGUACCAGUGCUUUUCGCACAUAUUUUCCCAAAUUAAGGUAAUGGAAUUCCUAUUCCCAUUCUCUCUGCGCCUGUUUUACUUGUAUCUGUAUCCUUAUUUCUUUGAU
Populus nigra (black poplar) is the source of this 2709-nucleotide long non-coding RNA. RefSeq lists it as uncharacterized. The transcript is spliced from 4 exons. The record is from RefSeq and is a predicted model, not a curated record. NCBI's taxonomy places the organism in Eukaryota, Viridiplantae, Streptophyta, Magnoliopsida, Malpighiales, Salicaceae.